GUGCCAGCAGCCGCGGUAAUACGUAGGGGGCCAGCGUUGUCCGGAAUCAUUGGGCGUAAAGCGCGCGUAGGCGGUCAGAUAAGUCCGGUGUAAAAGUCAAAGGCUCAACCUUUGAAUGCCGCUGGAAACUGUCUGGCUUGAGUCCGGGAGGGGCGAGUGGAAUUCCUGGUGUAGCGGUGAAAUGCGCAGAUAUCAGGAGGAACACCCAUGGCGAAGGCAGCUCGCUGGAACGGUACUGACGCUGAGGCGCGAAAGCGUGGGGAGCGAACAGGAUUAGAUACCCUAGUAGUCC
This 292-nucleotide ribosomal RNA is filed under the name uncultured bacterium. Its description in RNAcentral is "partial 16S ribosomal RNA". It matches the Rfam family "Bacterial small subunit ribosomal RNA", at positions 505 to 796 of the family's 1533-position model. The record is from RNAcentral.